AGUGAACGCUGGCGGUAGGCCUAACACAUGCAAGUCGAACGGCAGCACAGUAAGAGCUUGCUCUUACGGGUGGCGAGUGGCGGACGGGUGAGGAAUACAUCGGAAUCUACUUUUUCGUGGGGGAUAACGUAGGGAAACUUACGCUAAUACCGCAUACGACCUACGGGUGAAAGCAGGGGAUCUUCGGACCUUGCGCGAUUGAAUGAGCCGAUGUCGGAUUAGCUAGUUGGCGGGGUAAAGGCCCACCAAGGCGACGAUCCGUAGCUGGUCUGAGAGGAUGACCAGCCACCCUGGACCUGGGCCACGGUCCAGCCUCCUACGGGAGGCAGCAGUGGGGAAUAUUGGACAAUGGGCGCAAGCCUUAUCCAGCCAUACCGCGUGGGUGAAGAAGGCCUUCGGGUUGUAAAGCCCUUUUGUUGGGAAAGAAAAGCAGCAGGUUAAUACCCCGCUGUUCUGACGGUACCCAAAGAAUAAGCACCGGCUAACUUCGUG
This 492-nucleotide ribosomal RNA is filed under the name uncultured bacterium. RNAcentral describes it as "partial 16S ribosomal RNA". It matches the Rfam family "Bacterial small subunit ribosomal RNA", at positions 29 to 507 of the family's 1533-position model. The record is from RNAcentral.